RNAcentral lists this transfer RNA (72 nucleotides) under Pharyngomonas kirbyi. Its description in RNAcentral is "tRNA-Met". It matches the Rfam family "tRNA". Rfam says of the family: Transfer RNA (tRNA) molecules are approximately 80 nucleotides in length. The record is from RNAcentral. Lineage: Eukaryota; Heterolobosea; Pharyngomonadea; Pharyngomonadida; Pharyngomonadidae.
GGCAGAGUAGACUAAAUGGUAAGUCGUUGGGCUCAUGACCCUGAAAUGAAGGUUCGAAUCCUUCCUCUGCCA